AAGGCACUUAAAAUAGGGCCUAGAGGUACGUGUUUAAUAACUUUAUUUGUUGAUAUUAUCUUGAAAGUAAGCAUGAUGUUUCUGAGACAGGGACUUAAUAUUUUUAUAACAGUGACUUUGUUAUAUUUCCCCUAGAUUCUUUCCUCUUUUUGGAUGAUGAAUUGAGAAGCAAAUGGACAAGCCCGCAUCUGUAGGAGAGGGACCCACAAAAUACAAUCUGGAGGUAAAUAUAGAAAAAAAGUGGUGACUUACUUCAGCGGCUGUGGUGAACAGAAUUAUUACUUCCUUCCGUUUUGGGCUCUUUUGAGUUCUCAAGAGGUACAAGCAGAAAAAUCUACACCAGAUGGCUCUAAAGGAGAUUACAUUCAUAUUUUAUUUAUUCCCUGUCUACGUCUAAAAAGGAUUUAAGGUACAUGCUUGGGUCCCAGCGAGGUGGAUGAUAGCAGCUGUAACUGGAGGCAUAUGAAUGAGGAGAACUUCCUUGAAAACACCCCAGAAGGAAGCUGACCUGGAUGCAGUUUUCAAAUCCUGGAUUUGAGCCUUGUGGUACCAUGAGCACAGAAUUCAGUCACUUCGUGUCAGGGCAUCUUGCCUACGAAAGCUGUGAUAUCAUAAAUACAUGUCAUUUUAAGUCUUUUUGUUGUAAGACUGAGGCCCCUGUUUUCUUGCUGGCUGUUGGCCAGGGGCCACUCUCGGCUUUUAGAAACCACUAGCCCUCCUUGCCACAAGGCCCGCUCCAUUUUCAAAGUCAGUAGUAGAAAACUUCUCCCUUGUCAAAUCUCUCUCAGUCUUUGAAACUAACCUUUCAGUUGCUGAUUUCUGGACUCUGAUGAAAGGACUCAUGACUAGGGCAGGCCCUGCUGGAUAAUUUCUCUAAGUGAUUUGGGGCCUAAAUUAUACAUAAUUUAACCCCUUCACAGUAACACUUAGGUUAGUGUUGGAUUGAAUCACUGGGAGAAACUGUGUUUGCAUAAGGGCUGAGAAUUUGGGGGGGCUUUUUAGAUUCUGCUCAGAUGCCCAUUUACAUGGCUAUAAGCAUUUCCUAGUUAGGUCCCUAGUAUCCAGUCUCUGCUUUAAUUCACAUUACAAAGGGACUCCCUCAAUGAAUU
Molecule: long non-coding RNA, 1109 nt
Organism: Tupaia belangeri chinensis (Chinese tree shrew)
Lineage: Eukaryota; Metazoa; Chordata; Mammalia; Scandentia; Tupaiidae
Exons: 4
Source: RefSeq, a predicted model, not a curated record